UGCCGCAAGUGUGGGAAGGCCGUCUGU
RNAcentral lists this non-coding RNA (27 nucleotides) under Homo sapiens (human). The record is from RNAcentral. Lineage: Eukaryota; Metazoa; Chordata; Mammalia; Primates; Hominidae.